AAUAUGAAAAAAGAUCUGUUGUUUCUCUCUAGUAGUUGUGGAUAUGUGUGGGACCUAUCAGCAUGUAUGAGAUAGGGAGCAUGAAUCUUAUUGUGUGUUUGGUUGUACUUGAGUGCGUUGUGAAAACAAAGGUCACCAUGCAGAAUUCUGUAGUGGUCAAUGAAAGACAAAGGAAAUAGUUUGCCGUUAUGGGACUGUAGAUGGGAGGAAUUUCUAAAUCUAUGAUUUGGGGAAAACACUAUUGCAUGAUAUCGCUAAGGCACGUCAUUAAUUUAUUAAUGAUGUUAAUUUAGUUGUAGAUGAGCAAUUUAAUAUACAAAGACAAGAUGGAUAACUUCAUUGACCUAAUUUCCAACCGUUACUUAAACCACUUGUUAUUUAUUAUAUUAUUGUCUUAUUCUAAUGAUCUCAUCAUAUAUUUAAGUGAUUUGGAUAAUUUCUAGCUUUUUUUCUUUCUUUAUGAUGAGUUGAUAUUCAAAGUAUUAUUAUGCGAAUUCUUUAUAGAAAAAAUAAUUGAAUCUUAAGCUUCAUUUAUUUUAUGUCAAGGGGUAAAUUUGGGUAGUGAAAUAUAAUUUUUAGAGACAAAAAAAAUAUUUUGUAUUUAUUUUUGUUUAUGCAAUUCUAGGGAUAUAAUGACUUAAGCAUAGUGAUCCUGUCACCCCAUUGUGUCCUUAAUGCUUUUUAAGGAGAGUGACUAGUUGACUAGUGACAGGUAUAACUAGUCACUGAUAUGGUGAUUUUUUUUGUCUUGCUGCUCCUUAUAAGUUCCUCUAUCUAUAAGUAAUGAAAGGAUUAUUAAUCCAGUUGUAUCGAUUAUACUAUAUGAAUAAAAG
This 833-nucleotide unclassified non-coding RNA is filed under the name Hevea brasiliensis (rubber tree). The record is from RNAcentral. Lineage: Eukaryota; Viridiplantae; Streptophyta; Magnoliopsida; Malpighiales; Euphorbiaceae.